Molecule: unclassified non-coding RNA, 5048 nt
Filed under: Leishmania donovani
Lineage: Eukaryota; Euglenozoa; Kinetoplastea; Trypanosomatida; Trypanosomatidae
Description: gene:LdHU3.05.0250(CDS-product:hypothetical_prote in_conserved)
Source: RNAcentral
GUGCAUCGAUUCGUGUGUGCGCGCACUCCUACACACGUCGAUAUAGUUACAUAUACAAGCACUGCAGCGUUCCCCUCUUCAGCCUCACCCCUUUCCCCUCCUCAGUAGUCGUGGUAGUCGUGGCAGGAGCUGGUGGUGAGGAGAACAGCAGCGUCAGCGAGGCCGAGGCGGUGCGACGGUGGAUGGAAACGAGGUGGGGGAGCACUGAAGAAGUACGAAGCCUUCACAACGCUGCAUCGCUCCUGCAGCAUACACGGCAGCUUGCUUUUCUUUCUUUUUGGCCUUAGGCAUGUACUUGCGGAAGCCGCUUGUGCAGCGCGGUGUGCUGCGUUGCCACCCUCAUCGAUGCCAUCGACGAGCGCCGGCUGUGACCACGUCAGCGCCGCUGUCGUCGUCAGGCAGCAUCGAUGGAGGAAGUGACUUUGCAUGCUACGUCGAGGCGGAGUUCACGGAUGCGCUCUUCGCGGCAUCUUCGCCUACUGAGGCGGGCGCCAAUUCAGUGGAGCAGCGAGUCAACUCCUCCUUUUAUCUUGUGCCUGCAGCAGCAGCAGCAGCAGCACCGGCUGGUGCGCAGCGUCACCACCGACGGCGGCGCUCUCUCCACUGCGGGAGUGAGGUGUCGGGCCUGCCGCCCACUCACGCCAUCUUGAACCACCUGAACAGCUCCCUGUGGCUGCAGGUGCUGGCUCGCCUGCAUAGUCGCGGUGCACUUUGUGGCGAGGGUUGCGCCGGUGCACUUCGGUACUUGCCAACCUUCACGUACCGUCCGCUAAUGCCGUGGCUGUGGAGCCCAGCGACCUUGUCGACGCCAGCGGAGGCUGCGCAGCCGAGCAGCACAAGCCACCGCAGCGAGGCCGGCCGAGGCAGCGACGCGGAGAACGUUUCGGGUGCGCGGGACAGCUCGGAAUGGGAAGUAGAUCUGGGGACGGAGGUGCACAGAAACGUGUGUCUGCCCGCGCUGGCGAUGAGCUGCCGGCCUGCAGCUCCACCAGCACCGCCUGCUACGGCGCCGCUCACGGUUUACACGGUCACAGACAUCAGCACCGCUGCGCCGUCGCAGUGGACUGUCAUUGCGACCUCUGUAGUGAAGUCGACGCUCGCCAAUGCACCGCCAGCGACUGUGAAGGAUCUGCUGAAGGUGUGGCACGACCUCUUCUUUGCCCUCCGCUAUCACGCGGUGUGGGUCAGUACCCCGGAGCAGCUGCGCGGCAGCGCUCACCCGCAGCUGAUGCGCCUGUUCGAAUGCUUCUACGCAGAUGUCCGGCGUCAUAGUCAAAUUUCCAGCGCGAGUGAGGCUUGCGGCAUGGCACAACUCCUAUCCUCUGAAGAGCUGCCACUGCAGCAACGGCGUGCGAAUGUCAUUACCGAGGUGGUGGUGCGCACGCUGACGCCGCCCAUCCUGCUUCGAAAGUUCCGCAGUCUGUAUCGCCCGCACCGCCACUCCGCAAUGCUCUUCGCCGAACUCUACGCCAUGUGCGUUGAAGAAGAAGAGACGUUCGUCUGUCUCCGUCGCUUGCACGCACACAGCCCCGGUGACAUGUCCGCGCAAGAGGCAGCGCAGCCCGCUGCACGCAUGCGGCAGCGGCAGCAGCUCACGACGACAACCCUUUUAAUGGAUGUCGAUCUCGCCGCCUCUUACGCGACACUGCCGGGGCGCCGCUACAGCGGCCUCAGCGACGCAGGCGAGCAAUGGGCUGCUACGCUGCAGCACCUGCGGUUCCUGCUCCCUCGUGUGCAUUUCCUCCAGGAGUGUCGGAGGGCUCAAAGGGCGCCACCCAUGUCAAGCGGGAACGCUGCCGAAGAAGCGGUGUGGCAGCCGUGGCGGCAGGUCGCGUCUAUCCUCAUGAACGUGUGCGUAUGGGUCAGCAACGACAAUGCCGAGGCAGAGCGCUGCGUCGACGCGCUGCGGUGCACCGUCGAGGUGCUGCAAAGCAUGAACGCCGAAUCUUCCACGUCGGGCCGUGGCGGUGCGCACAGGCUGCUCGCCCCUCCGACAUUCCAGGUCGUGGGCGCCUUCAUCUCUUGCCUUGUCGCGGCAGCCCGGGACAGCAUGCGGACCAAGGCAGCUCAGCUACAGUACGGCCCGACGGAUGGCCUGUUGGGCGUGUACCUGCUCUCCGUGGCCGUCGCUGCCGUCAUCCCAGCAAGCGGGCGCUCGCGCAAGUCAGCGGCUGAUUGCCGGCAGACUGGUGACGGGGUACACAUGCCGAGCACCGAUGCGGAUGAAGACGCCGCGGAGCUGCUGCAUCGACUGCGUCUUCUCGUACACCCCUCGAAGUCGACGCCUGGCGAGGUGUGGGCUGCGCUGCGUCGCUCUCCGACUGCUGGCGAAGCUGCCCGCCAUGGCCUUGUCACGGUCGGGCAUCAUCUCUUCAGCGAGUGCGUCAUGCCACUGGUGAGCCAGCCAAAGGUCUUCUCGACCGCCCAGCGCCUAUAUGGUCGCUUGCGCGCUUGGGCCACAGAGGUAGGCCGACCGCUGGGCCUGCACGGCGAGCCUGUCUCCGCGCUGUGGAAGCUGCGGUGGCUGCAGCAGCACCUUACCACAGACGGCGACAGCGGCGAGGCCAGCGCUCUCCUAGGUCGGCUCACGUCGGGUCGCGUGCAAACGGGCAGCGACCGCGUUGCACCUCAAGACACAACAACGCUGCCGAGCCCUGUGUCGUGGGGCUGCGGGUGCGGCUUCGAGAACGAAAGCAUCAGCACUGGUGCGCAUCAUGGCGAUGCUGUAAGGGUAGCGUGCGUGGCUUGUGUGCUGCGCACUCUGACACCGCUGAGCUGGGAGUGCCCGUCCUGCCACGCCGUCGCCAACAGCGGUGUAUGCGUGCCGUACUGCCUGCGCUGUGGAGAGACCCAUCCUCUGGCGGAUCAGCUUGGCAUAGCCGUCAAGACACCCAGCGUGGCGGAUGCCCACACGUGUGGCAUGACGUUCUGCAAGGAGCAUCCACACCUGGGAACAGUGACGUUGCUGCAGCCGAGAGGUCUGCCCAAGAGCUCGUUGGUCUACACGCCGACGCCACCUUCAUUGCUGAAUGCGCCGGAGGCCACCGAAGGCGUGGCACGCUGCUGCUGGGACUGCGGGCAUGCGUGUGGCGGUGCGCCCGUUGACGUUGGCGACGUGCACGUGGCGACUCUUUCUCCUCGAUACGCGGCGCCGUCUUGGCACGGUGAAGAUGACGCUGCGCUGAAUGGCCUCUCUGAGGAUGGAAACUCACUCAAGGUGGGUGGCACGGGAGUCGUUGUCUACGUGUGCUCUGACUGCCAUGCCAUCUCCGCAGGCCCGCACAGCGCCGCGCUCCCCAAGAUACCAGACGGGGCACCAGCGACAGGGUCCAGCACGGCUUCCUGCAGCAGCUGUGGCACCACGGAGCCUGGCUACUACACUGCCGCCUUCACCUGGACGUGUGGCUGCGGUGCCUGCAAUUCUGCACUGCACGCGUACUGCCAUGCAUGCUCACGGGCUGCACAGCAGCCCACUGUAACGUGCACGCACUGCAGCCAUGCGCAGUCCGUGAGGGGAGCCGCGCCGUGGGCCGGAAGCAGGGGUGCAUGCGAGCGAUGUCACCACCCACACCCUCGCGUCCUCGCUGCCGUCAAUCAGCACCGCCUCGUCCGCUGCCCUGCGUGUCAAGGCCGUGUGCCGUCCACCAGCGUACAGUGCCCGCACUGCGCGUGCACCGCCGUGGCGGCGGUGGCCGCGCUGCUUCCAACGGAGGCGGAUCAGCCUUGGCUCUGUCACCACUGUGGCACAACGCACGCGGUCCGCGACCGAACGGACGGCCAGCUACGCACUCCGGUGCACCUGACGGAUCCCUCAUCCGUGCAUACGCUCCUGCCACUCCUCACACGUGCUGAGGACGGCUACUGCACGACGUGCGGUACGUGUCGUCUACCACCGACCUCGUGGGAGCGCGGACGCCUAUGGGGGUGCAGUAAGUGCGGAGAGCCGUUCAACAGCGAGCUGGCGUGUCGGCGAUGCGCUGCUCUCGCCCCUGGCGUCCCUGCCGGUCAGGUGUACGUGUGGCGCUGCGCAACGUGCGGCGCGUAUCACCCCAGCUGGGAGGUGCAGUGCCGCGCUGUCGGCUGCGGGGGUCGAGGAGGCGCAGAAGAUGUGGGCGCACGGUUCUGCUACUCACCGUGGGCGUGUGCCGAGUGCGGCGAGGUGACGCUGUCCUCGCACGCCAUCACCUGCGCCACCUGCGGCGCGGAGACCCCGAAGCCGCUGCGUGCCACCCCGUGCACCUACGGUGACGCCUGCGGGACGACGGCGGCCGCAACGGCAGGUGCGCACGCGAAACGGCACCGUGGGAGAGUGGAGGCAAAUCGCAGCGCACGCGCACAAGAAUGCACGAUGCCGAAAGCCCUCACAGGCGCCAAAGAAGACGUGCGGGUGCCGUCUGCCGGCACCUGUAGCGCUCUUUCCCCGUCACUCUCGCACACGCCAUUGGCGUUGUCUCCAGCCCAUGCGGCGACGGCCCCAGACUCGCGUCUAGCAGAGGUGGAGACGUUCCUGCUGCAGGCCGCUGCACACCCAUCUCUGCCGUUGCUUACUGAACCGCUGGACGCGCCGCUGGUGAAAGCCGUGUCGUGUACGUCGCUAUGGCCGCACAAGAGCGGCGAUGCCUCCGCACCAGCGAAUGAACCAGCAGGCGAUUCAGAGAAAUCGCUUACGGAUCCGACACACCGCGACGGCGUUCGUGCCGGUGGUGCCGCAGGUACGUCUGCGCUCGCCGUGGAGCCGUGGGAGGACGCGUACGCUGCGACCGUCAUAUCGUUCUAAGGCCGGUGCGGGAGCACGGCGACGCCGCGCUGUGAGAGAGACGAGGAUGCCCCCAUAUAUCGUCGGUGGCCUGUGCACACCGCCGCAAGCGGCGAGCGGAGUUGGCGCGAACGUGCUCGUGCGGCCGCUUCUUUGUUUUCUUGCGCUGCUCUCUGCCUGUUUGUCUCCGGCCAGGCUGGCACACGACUGCGUGUGGCCAUGCUUGCUGUUAACCAUGCACACCUGUCCAAGCAGCGUGCACGUGGACGCUGCUUGGACAGGGGCGCGUAAG